Molecule: ribosomal RNA, 280 nt
Filed under: uncultured bacterium
Lineage: Bacteria
Description: partial 16S ribosomal RNA
Rfam family: Bacterial small subunit ribosomal RNA
Source: RNAcentral
UAAUACGUAGGUGGCAAGCGUUGUCCGGAUUUAUUGGGUUUAAAGGGUGCGUAGGCGGUUGAUUAAGUCAGUUGUGAAAUACGGCAGCUUAACUGUCGAGGUGCAAUUGAUACUGGUUGACUUGAGUACAGACGAGGUAGGCGGAAUUGACGGUGUAGCGGUGAAAUGCAUAGAUAUCGUCAAGAACACCGAUAGCGAAGGCAGCUUACUAGACUGUAACUGACGCUGAGGCACGAAAGUGUGGGGAUCAAACAGGAUUAGAUACCCUGGUAGUCCACAC